Molecule: long non-coding RNA, 1644 nt
Organism: Argiope bruennichi
Lineage: Eukaryota; Metazoa; Arthropoda; Arachnida; Araneae; Araneidae
Exons: 3
Source: RefSeq, a predicted model, not a curated record
UGCAGAACUGUAUGAUUUGUCAAACAUGUUGAAAGCUGAUCUGUAGUAUGCCCAAUUCUGAACUGAACAUUUCAUUAUUAAUGAAUGUUUUAGCUUUGAGGUUUCAUUAUGAGUUGGAUAAUAAUACUUAGGUAGCUGCAUGGAAAGCUACAUUUGCUUUCAGUGUGGAGAGUCGUGAGUGAAUGACUAUGCGAAACUGACUCAAAUGACGUACGUCAUCAGAUUGCAUUCUUGAAGGUUGAAAAACCGUCCAUUAUUAUUGAAGCACUCUGCUCAAAGACCGCACCCAGCUUAUAAUAUUUGCUGGAGAGUUAAAAUGUCACAGGAGAACCAUUCAAUUACGUCUGUAUAAAUUUGGGAAGAAACAGGAAUUCUGUUACUGAACUGGAAAAAAGAAAUGCUGCAGGGGCUCAGUUUUACUAUGUCACGAGAAGGCGUAAUCCCCGGAUCAGACUUGAUUAAAUUUUGACAUGACGAUAAAUGGACCUUAAAUAUUAUUGAUCUUUUGUCUUGGAAGCAUUUGCCACGAAACGAAAUCUUCUCUAACGGAACAUACUGCCGUUUUUGGUGGAAUAAUACUUUUUUUUUGUCCACUUCGGACAUCUAGAAAGUGGCAAAACCAUCAUAAUCAAGACCGUAAAGAAUCCGUUUAUCCAUUUACGGAAGAUUUUGCAUUUAAAAACUGGAAGACACUAAAAUUGAAGAAUGUAAUAGAAAAUCGCAUGUGAAAAAAACAAAUAUUGCUCAAAGAAAUUUAGUGUAAGAUGGAUCUUUCUCAACAUGGCUAAGAAAUGAUUUUAUAUCGACAUCAAGACUGGAGUUCAUCGCUCUUACGUAUAAAAGAUAUCAAUGGAGCAACAUCGAACAGUAUUUUUUGCUGACAGCUUGGGAACUUAUAAAUUAUCUCUUGCAAAAUCUAUUAAGAUGAUUUACUACUAAUUAUAAACUUGACUUGGCAGCCGAGGGAAAUGCAAUUCAGAUAUCUUUAAAACUUUGUGCACUGAUCUUAAAAAAAAUAAAAAAAAUCUUAUUUUACAUUGCUUUCUGAAACUUUGCAGGUGAGGAGAAAAUUCAAUUUUCUAAACUUAAAAGGUAAAUCUAGCUAAAAUACGCAACUGCCGAUAUUUAUCACGAAAUUUAAGCGUAUCUCUGGCUUUCAUUCUAUCUUUUAAAAUAAUGACUAGCUGAAAAGACAAGUGCUGAAUGCUUUUUGUUUCAUAUUCUGAGAUGGUACUUUACAAAAUAUUUUAUUUUCAAACUAUUGUAACGAGUCAUUAAACUCAAAUUUCAACUAAUGUUUAGCGGUUAAAUUAAUAUCUACUUGUAAAAUCAGUUGAUCAAAAAUUUUGUAUUAAGUUAAGAAAACGAAAUCUGUUGGUGACUAUUUCACGGAUUUUGUAUAAUCAAAUUCAAUAAGUCUGUUUCGAUAUGGUUUUUCAGCAUUUUAAGAGCACAUAUUUUAUUCUGUUUUUAGCUUUAAUCUCAUAUUUUCAAGCUUUCUCGUGACUCGCUCUCUGAGACUGAGUUUAGCUAAUCAGAUUCAGAAGUUGUUAAAAAUUGAAUGAUCAUAUUGGAAAGAAUCGAUAUUGCUAAAAUUCUUCAAAAAAAAAAAUCAUGAAAAACAGUAAUUAAAUGUUUCCUUCG